RNAcentral lists this ribosomal RNA (395 nucleotides) under uncultured Methanolinea sp. Its description in RNAcentral is "bacterial SSU rRNA". It matches the Rfam family "Archaeal small subunit ribosomal RNA", at positions 943 to 1338 of the family's 1478-position model. The record is from RNAcentral. Lineage: Archaea; Methanobacteriati; Methanobacteriota; Methanomicrobia; Methanomicrobiales; Methanoregulaceae.
CUGGAUGAUAGCCGGGCUGAAGACUCUGCUUGACUAGCUGAGAGGAGGUGCAUGGCCGUCGUCAGUCGUACUGUGAAGCAUCCUGUUAAGUCAGGCAACGAGCGAGACCCACGCCAACAGUUGCCAGCAUGUCCUCCGGGAUGAUGGGGACACUGUUGGGACCGCCUCUGCUAAAGAGGAGGAAGGAAUGGGCAACGGUAGGUCAGCAUGCCCCGAAUUAUCCGGGCUACACGCGGGCUACAAUGGUCAGGACAAUGGGUAUCGACACCGAGAGGUGGAGGCAAUCUCCUAAACCUGUCCUUAGUUCGGAUUGUGGGCUGCAACUCGCCCACAUGAAGCUGGAAUCCGUAGUAAUCGCGUUUCAAAAUAGCGCGGUGAAUAUGUCCCUGCUCCUU